GGGCUUCUAGUUUCAUUGGUUGAAACCUCAUAACGGUGAUAUUGUAGGUUCGAGGAGCCCUACUAAGCCUACCACCCCC
This 79-nucleotide transfer RNA is filed under the name Sapria himalayana. RNAcentral describes it as "tRNA-Ile". The record is from RNAcentral. Lineage: Eukaryota; Viridiplantae; Streptophyta; Magnoliopsida; Malpighiales; Rafflesiaceae.